CCAAGGGGUGGGGAAUAUUGGACAAUGGGGGGAACCCUGAUCCAGCCAUCUGCCGCGUGUGUGAAGAAGGCCUUCGGGUUGUAAAGCACUUUAAUUUGGGAGGAAGGGCUUACGGUUAAUAACCGCUAAGUUUUGACGUUACCAAAAGAAUAAGCACCGGCUAACUUCGUGCCAGCAGCCGCGGUAAUACGAAGGGUGCGAGCGUUAAUCGGAAUUACUGGGCGUAAAGCGCGCGUAGGUGGUUCAUUAAGUUAGGAGUGAAAGCCCCGGGCUCAACCUGGGAAUUGCUUCUAAAACUGGUGAUCUAGAGUACGGUAGAGGGUGGUGGAAUUUCCUGUGUAGCGGUGAAAUGCGUAGAUAUAGGAAGGAACAUGCAGUGGCGAAGGCGACCACCUGGACUGAUACUGACACUGAGGUGCGAAAGCCGUUGGGGACAAACAGGAUUAGAUCCCU
RNAcentral lists this ribosomal RNA (453 nucleotides) under uncultured bacterium. Its description in RNAcentral is "bacterial SSU rRNA". It matches the Rfam family "Bacterial small subunit ribosomal RNA", at positions 347 to 788 of the family's 1533-position model. The record is from RNAcentral.